GAUGAACGCUAGCGGCAGGCCUAAUACAUGCAAGUCGAACGGUGUCUUCGGACAUAGUGGCGCACGGGUGCGUAACACGUAUGCAACCUACCUUACAUUGGGGGAUAGCCUUUCGAAAGGGAGAUUAAUACCGCAUAAGACAGUAGCUGGGCAUCCAGCAGCUGUUAAAGAUUUAUCGAUGUAAGAUGGGCAUGCGUCCAAUUAGUUAGUUGGCGAGGUAACGGCUCACCAAGACUUUGAUUGGUAGGGGAACUGAGAGGUCAAUCCCCCACACUGGCACUGAGAUACGGGCCAGACUCCUACGGGAGGCAGCAGUAGGGAAUAUUGGGCAAUGGACGCAAGUCUGACCCAGCCAUGCCGCGUGCAGGAUGAAGGCGUUAUGCGUUGUAAACUGCUUUUAUACAGGAAGAAACGACUCUUGCGAGAGGCAUUGACGGUACUGUAUGAAUAAGCACCGGCUAACUCCGUGCCAGCCGCCGCAGUAA
RNAcentral lists this ribosomal RNA (485 nucleotides) under uncultured bacterium. RNAcentral describes it as "partial 16S ribosomal RNA". It matches the Rfam family "Bacterial small subunit ribosomal RNA", at positions 28 to 523 of the family's 1533-position model. The record is from RNAcentral.